UCCGUAGGGUCCGAGCGUUGUCCGGAAUUACUGGGCGUAAAGAGCUCGUAGGUGGUUUGUCGCGUUGUUCGUGAAAACUCACAGCUCAACUGUGGGCGUGCGGGCGAUACGGGCAGACUAGAGUACUGCAGGGGAGACUGGAAUUCCUGGUGUAGCGGUGGAAUGCGCAGAUAUCAGGAGGAACACCGGUGGCGAAGGCGGGUCUCUGGGCAGUAACUGACGCUGAGGAGCGAAAGCGUGGGGAGCGAACAGG
RNAcentral lists this ribosomal RNA (253 nucleotides) under uncultured bacterium. Its description in RNAcentral is "partial 16S ribosomal RNA". It matches the Rfam family "Bacterial small subunit ribosomal RNA", at positions 524 to 776 of the family's 1533-position model. The record is from RNAcentral.